This 253-nucleotide ribosomal RNA is filed under the name uncultured bacterium. RNAcentral's name for it is "partial 16S ribosomal RNA". It matches the Rfam family "Bacterial small subunit ribosomal RNA", at positions 524 to 776 of the family's 1533-position model. The record is from RNAcentral.
AACGUAGGGGGCAAGCGUUGUCCGGAAUCAUUGGGCGUAAAGAGCGUGUAGGCGGCCCGAUAAGUCCGCUGUGAAAGUCCAGGGCUCAACCCUGGAAUGCCGGUGGAUACUGUCGGGCUCGAAUCCGGAAGAGGUGAGUGGAAUUCCUGGUGUAGCGGUGAAAUGCGCAGAUAUCAGGAGGAACACCAAUGGCGAAGGCAGCUCACUGGGACGGUAUUGACGCUGAGACGCGAAAGCGUGGGGAGCAAACAGG